This 103-nucleotide transfer RNA is filed under the name Herbaspirillum sp. Sphag64. RNAcentral describes it as "tRNA-Arg". It matches the Rfam family "tRNA". Rfam says of the family: Transfer RNA (tRNA) molecules are approximately 80 nucleotides in length. Their secondary structure includes four short double-helical elements and three loops (D, anti-codon, and T loops). Lineage: Bacteria; Pseudomonadati; Pseudomonadota; Betaproteobacteria; Burkholderiales; Oxalobacteraceae. The record is from RNAcentral. RNAcentral also lists the same sequence under 1 other name.
GUAGCUCAGUGGAUACAACGCCGCGUCCCGUAAGGGAUGCAAGGCCGAAAGUAUUGGCCUCCGAAGCCAAGGGUCGCUGGUUCGAUUCCAGCCAGCCGCGCCA